This 276-nucleotide unclassified non-coding RNA is filed under the name Hevea brasiliensis (rubber tree). Lineage: Eukaryota; Viridiplantae; Streptophyta; Magnoliopsida; Malpighiales; Euphorbiaceae. The record is from RNAcentral.
UCGGAAAGCACCCAUUGCAGCCCUUGGUUUUCGAGUGCAAUGCAACAAAUGGGCAAUCAUUGUUCGCUUGCUGCUAGGAGAAAUCCCUGAGAGGACCGUUUUCAUGCAGAAAGGCAUGGAGACAGCUCUGAGGCCAUACUUUGAACUUACAAAUGCUGUGAGAAUUGGUGACUUGGAGCUUUUCAGGACAGUUGCCGAGAAGUUCUCUGGCACUUUCAGCUCAGAUCGAACUAACAACUUGAUCGUGAGGCUGCGACACAAUGUCAUUAGGACUGG